Long non-coding RNA from Sardina pilchardus (European sardine), 1348 nucleotides. RefSeq lists it as uncharacterized. The record is from RefSeq and is a predicted model, not a curated record. NCBI's taxonomy places the organism in Eukaryota, Metazoa, Chordata, Actinopteri, Clupeiformes, Clupeidae. The transcript is spliced from 3 exons.
AUAUGGACAGUGUUUAUAGACGUUAUAUCUGGGACACAUUCAUUAUGUGGAGAAAAGGACAAACUUUUGCAAUAUCUCCAAAUGAACGGUAUCUCAUUUGUGUCUUGCAUAAGUAGCAGGACUUUCACAGAACCUUUUAUUAAAAAUAUGGUUAAUGAUCUUUGUUAUGAACUGUCUGAUGUGAAAACAUGGAGGUGCGUUGCGCUCUAGAACUAGAAUCUUUGGUUUGCGUUCAGUUCUUGCAACUCGUUCCCAUGAGAAUGAAAACCGUUACCAUAACAUUUCUGUUUUCGUGUAAAUUUUAAACAUUCUCGAUUUAUGAACAAUCUUGUUAGUGCAUAAAGUUAUGUAAGGGAUAAUUUACAACUGACCACACGUCUUGAUGCAAAGCCAGAUUGUAUUCAAAUGGCUAAACCUAGUCCAGGAACCGGCAAGAGAGGUGUUAAAGUUAUCAAAAACCAAAUAGACUUGGGGUCCCAGGGAACUACAGCUAAUUCUACUGGAAGUAAGAAAUUGGGUGACAUGAAGCCCCGCUCUGGCAGACAACGGGACCAUCGCGGUCUUGGGAAAGCAGGGGCGAAACGGUUGGGUCAGAUGUUGAGGAAAGCAAUUCAACAGAAAGAAGGAAUCCAAGGAAACAAACCUUUACCAAAAACCCCAGUUGGUUUGUUAAAACACCAGGCCGAUGCAAUUGCAAAAGCCACAUCCAGUGAGAAGCCAAAGUUGGUCCCACAAGUUUCUGAUCUCAUAUUGCAAGUCAUAGCUCAGUGCAAAAGCCAGGGUGGCAUAUCCAUGGUUGAGCUCAAGAAGGCUCUGGCCGCUGGUGGUUAUGAUGUGAGCAAAAACAAUUCACAUGUGAAUAAGGCAGUGAGGGGACUUGUGAGGACAGAAACUCUUUUGCAAACCUCUGGAAAAGGAACCGAGUCAUUUAGGUUUAACUUAAAGAAAAUAACAGGUGAGAAGACGAUCCGGACAAGGGCUGCAAGAAAGAGAGAGGCAGGUAGAGUGGUGAAGGAAAGCCCAGUGGUUCAUCCUAGCGCAGCGACAGAGAGAUCUACAGACGUACCCUCUAAAGCAGCCAGCAAAGAUGACAAACCAACCAGAAAGUCUGCUGAGCCAGUGAGAAAUGCUAAACCAAAGGCCAAAGCAUCACCUGCAAAACGAGCGAAAUACAGUCCAAAGAAAAAGGGCGGUGAAGGCAAAACAAAAGCAACCAGAAGAAAUAGAAGAUAACAAGACUAGAUUCAUGCCAGAUCAUUUAACCAAAAAGUAUAAUGUUUGCAGAAUAACUAAAAUAGUAAAACAUGGCAAGCUUUUGAGGCUACAAACAAUAAAAUGUUUGAUAACA